UACAGAGGUGGCAAGCGUUGUUCGGAAUUACUGGGCGUAAAGGGCGCGUAGGCGGCUUGGUCAGUCCCGUGUGAAAUCCCUCGGCUCAACUGAGGAACUGCCUUUGAAACUGUCGGGCUUGAGGCCGGGAGGGGGUAGCGGAAUUCCCAGUGUAGCGGUGAAAUGCGUAGAUAUUGGGAGGAACACCAGUGGCGAAGGCGGCUACCUGGACCGGUUCUGACGCUGAUGAGCGAAAGCUAGGGGAGCAAACGGG
This 253-nucleotide ribosomal RNA is filed under the name uncultured bacterium. RNAcentral describes it as "partial 16S ribosomal RNA". It matches the Rfam family "Bacterial small subunit ribosomal RNA", at positions 524 to 776 of the family's 1533-position model. The record is from RNAcentral.